This 252-nucleotide long non-coding RNA is filed under the name Pelobates cultripes (western spadefoot toad). The record is from RNAcentral. Lineage: Eukaryota; Metazoa; Chordata; Amphibia; Anura; Pelobatidae.
UGAAAAAAAAAAUAGUUUAACGUUCAAUCAGAUGUAAUUUACCUUAAACAAUUGUAUCUCUUUCUCUGUAAAUUUAACUUUAAUCACAUAAAGGAAGCUCUUGCAGGGUCUAGCAAGCUAUUAACAUAGCAGGUGAUAAGAAAAUCUAAAUUAAACAGACCUUGCAAUAAAGGAAGGAUAAACUGUAGAUGACUCUUUACAUGAAGUGUUUAGGAAGGCUGUGCAAGUCACAUGCAGGGAGGUGUGACUAGG